Molecule: ribosomal RNA, 468 nt
Filed under: uncultured bacterium
Lineage: Bacteria
Description: partial 16S ribosomal RNA
Rfam family: Bacterial small subunit ribosomal RNA
Source: RNAcentral
GACGAACGCUGGCGGCGUGCUUAACACAUGCCAGUCGAACGGAAAGGCCCUGCUUUUGUGGGGUGCUCGAGUGGCGAACGGGUGAGUAACACGUGAGUAACCUGCCCUUGACUUUGGGAUAACUUCAGGAAACUGGGGCUAAUACCGGAUAGGAGCUCCUGCUGCAUGGUGGGGGUUGGAAAGUUUCGGCGGUUGGGGAUGGACUCGCGGCUUAUCAGCUUGUUGGUGGGGUAGUGGCUUACCAAGGCUUUGACGGGUAGCCGGCCUGAGAGGGUGACCGGCCACAAUGGGACUGGGAUACGGCCCAGACUCCUACGGGAGGCAGCAGUGGGGAAUAUUGCACAAUGGGCGGAAGCCUGAUGCAGCAACGCCGCGUGCGGGAUGACGGCCUUCGGGUUGUAAACCGCUUUCGCCUGUGACGAAGCGUGAGUGACGGUAAUGGGUAAAGAAGCACCGGCUAACUACGUG